Molecule: ribosomal RNA, 392 nt
Filed under: uncultured Gammaproteobacteria bacterium
Lineage: Bacteria; Pseudomonadati; Pseudomonadota; Gammaproteobacteria
Description: bacterial SSU rRNA
Rfam family: Bacterial small subunit ribosomal RNA
Source: RNAcentral
AAUGGGCGCAAGCCUGAUCCAGCCAUGCCGCGUGUGUGAUGAAGGCCCUAGGGUUGUAAAACACUUUCAGUGGGGAAGAUAAUGACGGUACCCACAGAAGAAGCUCCGGCUAACUCCGUGCCAGCAGCCGCGGUAAUACGGAGGGAGCUAGCGUUGUUCGGAAUUACUGGGCGUAAAGCGCACGUAGGCGGAUUUGUUAGUCAGAGGUGAAAUCCCGGGGCUCAACCUCGGAACUGCCUUUGAUACUGCAAGUCUAGAGACCGAGAGAGGUGAGUGGAAUUUCCAGUGUAGAGGUGAAAUUCGUAGAUAUUGGAAAGAACACCAGUGGCGAAGGCGGCUCACUGGCUCGGUACUGACGCUGAGGUGCGAAAGCGUGGGGAGCUAACAGGAUU